This 558-nucleotide long non-coding RNA is filed under the name Mus musculus (house mouse). Its description in RNAcentral is "predicted gene, 49915". The record is from RNAcentral. Lineage: Eukaryota; Metazoa; Chordata; Mammalia; Rodentia; Muridae.
AUUAAUGGGGCUAGCAAUGGGGUUACUUCAGUGGAAGGUAUAGACGGCGGCUUAGAAAAUUGGAGGCCCUAAGUUUAAUUCAUACUACUGGAAGAGGAAAAAAAAGUUAAGGAAAGGAGGAGGAAGUGGAAGAAAGAAGGAUGAAAGGAAGGAGGAAAGAGAAAGGAGGAGAAUAGAGGAGAAAGGAAGGAAGGAGACGGAGGAUGCGGAGCAGGAGGAAGAAGAAAAAAAAAGACAGCGUGGACCUCCUAACUUCCAAUCAAUCUCUUCUUUUUUAACCUUCCCCAACUCUGAGGAAGGGUCUUUAGCUCAGGUCAGCUUGGGCUACAGAAUAAUACCCUGUUCAACACCCCUACCUCUAAAAAAAAAAAUCCAAAAAACAAAGCACCAGGCCUGCCAGUGGUGGCACACGCCUGUAAUCCCAGCAUUUGGGAGGCAGAGGCAGGCGGAUUUCUGAAUUUGAGGCCAGCCUGGUCUACAGAGUGAGUUCCAGGACAGCCAGGGCUGCACAGAGAAACCCUGUCUCGAAAAACCAAACAAAAACCAAACCAAACCAAA